Molecule: non-coding RNA, 45 nt
Filed under: Schistosoma margrebowiei
Lineage: Eukaryota; Metazoa; Platyhelminthes; Trematoda; Strigeidida; Schistosomatidae
Source: RNAcentral
ACCCAGCUGACGAGCUCCGAAUAAGACGAAACGCGAUUCCUGGAU